This 448-nucleotide ribosomal RNA is filed under the name Ericabatrachus baleensis (Bale Mountains frog). RNAcentral's name for it is "partial 16S ribosomal RNA". It matches the Rfam family "Bacterial large subunit ribosomal RNA", at positions 1816 to 2493 of the family's 2925-position model. Lineage: Eukaryota; Metazoa; Chordata; Amphibia; Anura; Pyxicephalidae. The record is from RNAcentral.
CGCCUCUUGCUAAACCAUAAGAGGUCUAGCCUGCCCAGUGAUAAAAUUCAACGGCCGCGGUACCCUAACCGUGCGAAGGUAGCAUAAUCACUUGUUCUCUAAAUAAGGACCUGUAUCAACGGCAUCACGAGGGUUGUACUGUCUCCUUACUCCAAUCAGUGAAACUGAUCUCCCCGUGAAGAAGCGGGGAUUUUAAUAUAAGACGAGAAGACCCCAUGGAGCUUUAAACCCAACAGCAAUCUCCUAAUACAUAAACCUUAAAAAAUACAAAGACYCUGCAUGUUGGUUUUAGGUUGGGGCGACCACGGAGUACAACACAACCUCCACGAUGAAUAGACUAACCCUAUCUAAGAGCAACUGCUCUAAGAAUCAACAAAUUGACAUAUAUGACCCGAGACACUCGAUCAACGGACCAAGUUACCCUGGGGAUAACAGCGCCACCCACUUC